This is a long non-coding RNA of Mesoplodon densirostris (Blainville's beaked whale), 636 nucleotides long. RefSeq lists it as uncharacterized. NCBI's taxonomy places the organism in Eukaryota, Metazoa, Chordata, Mammalia, Artiodactyla, Ziphiidae. The record is from RefSeq and is a predicted model, not a curated record. The transcript has 2 exons.
GUCCACUGCCAGGGCCCACGAAUCGGUGGCCAUGGUCCCGGAGGAGGAAGGCCGACUGGCGAAAAACACAACCGCACGCACGGCAACACCAGCCCCGAACUCUCUGCAGGCGCAAGAAUCACACUCACGCGGACCGGAAGUGGCGAUGCGCGAAGGUGACGUCAGUUUCCGUCCGGGGCGAGACGUCACCGUCCGCGCGGCGCCACGCAGGGCCUAACACCUGGCUUCGCUUCCACUCUUCGUGCCCACACCCGCUUUUUCCGCGGACUUCCCUAGGAGCCACCUCAUCGUGCCUGGAAAUCCAUGAAAGAAGUAGAAGAGAAGAAUAAGUGAUGAACAGAUGACCAGAUCUCUUCCCUAGCUUCCCCUUCAGUAAUCUCCCAAAUAAACUCUGUGAUCAAACUGUGUGAACAUGAUCACAUCUAGAGGAAGAUCACAAGAAGUUGAGGAGCCUGCACACAGUGGGGGAUGGCGACGGCUCAGACCCCCAACUCAAUGAUGAACUGAGAUUACUUCCCUCCUUCCCUUUAAAAGUUUCAUGAGCAGAAUCUUCGGAGGUGGUUUUUGGGGUAUGUUGAGUCCACCAUCUCCCCAGAUUGCUGGCAUUCUGAUUAAAGGCACUUUUCCUUUUUACCA